Molecule: small nucleolar RNA, 70 nt
Organism: Lotus japonicus
Lineage: Eukaryota; Viridiplantae; Streptophyta; Magnoliopsida; Fabales; Fabaceae
Product: small nucleolar RNA Z105
Exons: 1
Source: RefSeq, a predicted model, not a curated record
UUGGCAUUAUGAUGAUGUUUAUUGUCAUCUGAUUAUCAUGUGUUGAUAACAAUCCUCCUACUCAUUCUGA